GGUGACCUAAAGGACGUAUCUGAUACUGAAGGUGAUGGGAGAAUGACUACUGUGCCACCUGCUGACACACGUGGUAACACAGAUGUUGCUAAUGUGACCUCAGAAGCUGCGGAACGUGCUUCAAGAGAACACCAUCAUCCUACUGAACAACUAGAGAUCUCUGAGCCUGUUGCACCAA
This is a long non-coding RNA of Eriocheir sinensis (Chinese mitten crab), 178 nucleotides long. RefSeq lists it as uncharacterized. The record is from RefSeq and is a predicted model, not a curated record. The transcript has 2 exons. Lineage: Eukaryota; Metazoa; Arthropoda; Malacostraca; Decapoda; Varunidae.